GGGGUGUUGUCUGGUGAGACUGGAAGUUUUGCAAACUACCGGGAAGAGUUCGAUUCUCUUACAUUCCACCA
This 71-nucleotide transfer RNA is filed under the name Mycobacterium alsense. RNAcentral's name for it is "tRNA-OTHER". It matches the Rfam family "tRNA". Rfam says of the family: Transfer RNA (tRNA) molecules are approximately 80 nucleotides in length. Their secondary structure includes four short double-helical elements and three loops (D, anti-codon, and T loops). The record is from RNAcentral. Lineage: Bacteria; Bacillati; Actinomycetota; Actinomycetes; Mycobacteriales; Mycobacteriaceae.